UUAAUUCCGGAGAAGAGGUUGGUUAAGGCGCGGCGAGAUGGAAGAUUGAUGUGGUGGAGGAGAAUGUUGGACGGUGCGGUGGAGAAGAGUUUUGGGCGGCAGAGUGUUCGGCGGUCGCCUAGGAGGCUACCGAUCGCGACAGAGAGGGGUGAGAAUGAUGGAACGAGACCUUGGAGUGACAAAUCAGAAAGAGAU
Non-coding RNA from Vicia faba (fava bean), 195 nucleotides. The record is from the annotation of a GenBank genome assembly. Lineage: Eukaryota; Viridiplantae; Streptophyta; Magnoliopsida; Fabales; Fabaceae.